GUAAGGAAUAUUGGACAAUGGACGCAAGUCUGAUCCAGCCAUGCCGCGUGAAGGAUUAAGGUCCUCUGGAUUGUAAACUUCUUUUAUAAGGGACGAAAAAAGGCUUUUCUAAGUCGUCUGACGGUACCUUAUGAAUAAGCACCGGCUAACUCCGUGCCAGCAGCCGCGGUAAUACGGAGGGUGCAAGCGUUAUCCGGAUUCACUGGGUUUAAAGGGUGCGUAGGCGGACAGGUAAGUCAGUGGUGAAAUCCUAGAGCUUAACUCUAGAACUGCCAUUGAUACUAUCUGUCUUGAAUAUUGUGGAGGUAAGCGGAAUAUGUCAUGUAGCGGUGAAAUGCUUAGAUAUGACAUAGAACACCUAUUGCGAAGGCAGCUUACUACGCAUAUAUUGACGCUGAGGCACGAAAGCGUGGGGAUCAAACAGGAUUAGAUACCCUGGUAGUCC
Molecule: ribosomal RNA, 445 nt
Filed under: uncultured bacterium
Lineage: Bacteria
Description: partial 16S ribosomal RNA
Rfam family: Bacterial small subunit ribosomal RNA
Source: RNAcentral